GGCCCGCACAAGCAGUGGAGUAUGUGGUUAAUUCGAAGCAACGCGAAGAACCUUACCAGGUCUUGACAUCCAACUAACGAGGUAGAGAUACGUUAGGUGCCCUACGGGGAAAGUUGAGACAGGUGGUGCAUGGUUGUCGUCAGCUCGUGUCGUGAGAUGUUGGGUUAAGUCCCGCAACGAGCGCAACCCUUGUCCAUAGUUGCUACGCAAGAGCACUCUAUGGAGACUGCCGUUGACAAAACGGAGGAAGGUGGGGAUGACGUCAAAUCAUCAUGCCCCUUAUGACCUGGGCAACACACGUACUACAAUGGCCGUAAACAGAGGGAAGCAAGACAGUGAUGUGGAGCAAACCCCAAAAAACGGUCUCAGUUCAGAUUGUAGGCUGCAACUCGCCUACAUGAAGAUGGAAUUGCUAGUAAUCGCGAAUCAGCAUGUCGCGGUGAAUACGUUCCCGGGCCUUGUACACACCGCCCGUCACACCAUGGGAGCCGGUAAUACCCGAAGUCAGUGUUCUAGCUGAAUUCAUUUGGAGGAAGCUGCCGAAGGUAGGAUUGGCGACUGGGGUG
RNAcentral lists this ribosomal RNA (566 nucleotides) under uncultured bacterium. Its description in RNAcentral is "bacterial SSU rRNA". It matches the Rfam family "Bacterial small subunit ribosomal RNA", at positions 918 to 1482 of the family's 1533-position model. The record is from RNAcentral.